This is a non-coding RNA of Ixodes scapularis (black-legged tick), 73 nucleotides long. NCBI's taxonomy places the organism in Eukaryota, Metazoa, Arthropoda, Arachnida, Ixodida, Ixodidae. The record is from Rfam.
UCCUGAUUAGCUCAGUUGGUAGAGCGCUUCACUGGAAAGGGAGUGGUCCCUGGUUCGAUAACAGGACCGGGCG